Molecule: small nucleolar RNA, 66 nt
Organism: Choloepus didactylus (southern two-toed sloth)
Lineage: Eukaryota; Metazoa; Chordata; Mammalia; Pilosa; Megalonychidae
Product: small nucleolar RNA U54
Exons: 1
Source: RefSeq, a predicted model, not a curated record
UGGCGAUGAGGAAAGAUACAAGUUUUGAACUAUGGUGAUAGUUGUAUACGCUAUUCUGAGCCAGCC